GCAAGUCGAGCGAGCGGAACCACAGAUUUACUUCGGUAAUGACGUUGGGAAAGCGAGCGGCGGAUGGGUGAGUAACACGUGGGGAACCUGCCCCUAAGUCUGGGAUACCAUUUGGAAACAGGUGCUAAUACCGGAUAAUAAAGCGGAUCGCAUGAUCAGCUUUUGAAAGGCGGCGUAAGCUGUCGCUAAGGGAUGGCCCCGCGGUGCAUUAGCUAGUUGGUAAGGUAACGGCUUACCAAGGCGACGAUGCAUAGCCGAGUUGAGAGACUGAUCGGCCACAUUGGGACUGAAACACGGCCCAAACUCCUACGGGAGGCAGCAGUAGGGAAUCUUCCACAAUGGACGCAAGUCUGAUGGAGCAACGCCGCGUGAGUGAAGAAGGUUUUCGGAUCGUAAAGCUCUGUUGUUGGUGAAGAAGGAUAGAGGUAGUAACUGGCCUUUAUUUGACGGUAAUCAACCAGAAAGUCACGGCUAACUACGUGCCAGCAGCCGCGGUAAUACGUAGGUGGCAAGCGUUGUCCGGAUUUAUUGGGCGUAAAGCGAGCGCAGGCGGAAAAAUAAGUCUAAUGUGAAAGCCCUCGGCUUAACCGAGGAACUGCAUCGGAAACUGUUUUUCUUGAGUGCAGAAGAGGAGAGUGGAACUCCAUGUGUAGCGGUGGAAUGCGUAGAUAUAUGGAAGAACACCAGUGGCGAAGGCGGCUCUCUGGUCUGCAACUGACGCUGAGGCUCGAAAGCAUGGGUAGCGAACAGGAUUAGAUACCCUGGUAGUCCAUGCCGUAAACGAUGAGUGCUAAGUGUUGGGAGGUUUCCGCCUCUCAGUGCUGCAGCUAACGCAUUAAGCACUCCGCCUGGGGAGUAC
RNAcentral lists this ribosomal RNA (859 nucleotides) under uncultured bacterium. RNAcentral describes it as "bacterial SSU rRNA". It matches the Rfam family "Bacterial small subunit ribosomal RNA", at positions 57 to 883 of the family's 1533-position model. The record is from RNAcentral.